This is a long non-coding RNA of Rhinolophus ferrumequinum (greater horseshoe bat), 2833 nucleotides long. RefSeq lists it as uncharacterized. The transcript has 3 exons. Lineage: Eukaryota; Metazoa; Chordata; Mammalia; Chiroptera; Rhinolophidae. The record is from RefSeq and is a predicted model, not a curated record.
UAUAACUGUUAUGUGCUACACUUUCCUACGACUGGCAGCGCAGGUGUUUACACCAGCAUCACCACAAACACGUGAGCAAUGCAUUGUGGUAUGACUUAACAACCACCACAGUGUCACCAGGCGAUAGGAAUUUUCCAGCUCCAUUAUCGUCUUACAGGACCAUAUAUGCAGUCCACUGUUGACCUAAACGUCGUUAUAUGGCCCAUCACUGUACAGGGUGCAGUUUUCAGGGAUUACAGGCCCAGAGAGAUUCAGGAAUGCACACCUACAGGCUAACUAAGACAGACCCAAAAGGUGCUAGGGACUGAGGAGGGUGCACCCGUUGGCCAAGUGUAAUGACACAGAAAUGCUGGUGCAUGCAAGUUGCCAAAAAGAGCAGGCUGAGGAUAGUACAAAAAAAGGCCAGGCUAACCGGCACGCACUGCUAGGGCUAAGGGGCGGGGUGACCUUGAGUUGGGGAAUCAAGAGAAUGAGCAGUUACCAACGCCCAGCCCUCCCACUUCGGUCACCUCCUGUUCCAAGACCCCACGGGGAUCUAACAGAGGCGAAUGGGCUCAAGAAUCCAGGAUUGAGGGCAUGAUGACCACAGGAAUAGUAGCGAGGCUGUUGCUGUUUCUGCUGCUGGCACUAGGCAGGCGAGGCAAGUUGGGGUGCGCGGCGCACGCAGGCGCAGGGGGCCCUACCCUCAGGCCCACACCUCUCCUGUUGCCGGGGAACGUGCUGCAGCUGAAGCCCAGACUCCUGGACCACGCACUCAUAGAGGCAGUCCGGGAGGGAGUGGGUGAGGGUACAGAAUUCUGAAUUCAUGGAGGUGGGGCUGGGGCUGGAACUCCUGGUUCUCUGAAUGAAGACAGAGCUGAGGGUUCCACCAGUUCCCGAAGAAGGUUGAGGGGCCGUAAGUCCUUUGUUCUGGCAAAGAAAACUGGGUGGGUCGGAAAGCUGGGGACCUGGAGAUCUGGUUGUGAGGAAAGAGGAGACGGGGGUGGGGAGUCAGAUAUCGAGGGAAGAGGGGCAGUGGGCUUGAGCUCCUGGUUCAAGGUGGAGUCGUGCUACUCUGUCCCCAACCUCCAUUCCUGGGUCCUGAGGGAAGAGCUGGGUGAGGAGUCCGAUGCCGGGGGAGGCGGGCAAAGGGGCCUGUUCUCCUGGUGCAAGGCUGGAAGGGGGAGUAUUGAGGGCCCAGAAGCCUAGUUCUGAAGGUGCAGGGGGCUGGACACCUGGCUUUCUGGAUCCUGAGGGAAGAGGGAGCCUGGACUCCUGGGUCUGAGGGAGAAAGAGGCUGGGGAUCAGAACUCCUGGGCCUGGAAUGAGGGCGGAGAAACGGAAACUCCCGGGUCUGAAGGGAGCUGGAGGCGGGGCUCCGGAGUCUUGGAGGAGGAAGCGGGGGUCGGGAGCCCGAACCAGGAUCUGCUGAGCACCGGCUCCACGUAGCUCUGGCCGCUGAGACCCGCGCUCUACAGUGAUGCUGUGCGGCUUCGCAACACUGCGAGACAUGUUAGCGCUGCAGGGGGACACCUUCUCCGGCUGCGAGGUCAUGGCAGUCUUUGAACGCCUCCCACUCGGAAGCCGUGAGGCCCAGGAGGUGGAAAGGCGGGCCUGGACAUCCUGUUUGGGCAGCAAAGGGCGGGACCGGGAAAAUGGAGCGGGGCCCAAUAGAGUCAAAGCUAAAGAGCGCAAACCGGGAGGAGGGCGGGGUGGAGCUAAAGUGUCAGGUCGAGUCGGGGGCGGAAGGGUUGCUCGCCUCGUGCAACCCACAGAAGAGCCUAAGAGUCUAAGCCAAAGAGAGCAAGCGCUGGUCAGAGAUUGAGACCAACAGAGGUGGGGCAAAUGUGUGAAGAGGUGGCAACCAAAAGGUCUAAGAAGCAAAGCAAAGGGUUGCAAGGAAGUCGGCCCGCCCCCUGAACACUUCCCGGGGGCGUGGCUAACUCCUGGCCCUCCCCUUUCUCUGCCUCACCCCUAGGUAUCGCGUUCGGGUUGGUACGCGGACCAUCCUGGAGCGCGUCCUGGAGGCGGCGGCUCGUUGGCUUGGCGAAAUUUCAAGCCACUAUUGGUGCGGCCUGUUUGGGAAAGCAGAGGGAGCUGGUGUGGCUAACAGACCAGAAGGGGCCGCCGGAAGGCGUUUGGGUGGAACGAAGCCAGUAAGCCCAAGAGCUAGCUGGGAGCCGACCCACAGCGUUAUGACCUCGCCCUGUUCCCACUUCCAGGGGUCCCGUUCAACCCCCGGCGGCUACUAGAUAAUGCUGUGCAUCUGUUAUCUGUUUCGUGGUCUUUGGGAACCGCUGUGGAUACAAGUACCAGGAGUUCCUGAGGCUCCUGGACCUCUUCAGUGACAACUUCCGCAUCAUGAGUUCCAGACGGGGAGAGAACUUCGGGUCUUCAUCUCUGAUCAAAUGCAGCGGCACCAGCAGACGCGACAGCCUGGGGAACCCGCGAUUUAAUGGACUGCUCCCUCCAGCAGAUGGGUAAGGUGCAGACCCCUGCUGCCCUAAACUCUAUCCAUGCCGCCUACAAGGAGGUGCCUGGCAUGCAGCAGCACCUGUUUCCUCUGUCCACAGGAACAGAACCACCCUGAGUCACUUCCUGUAAGAGACUUCGAAGACAACACAUAACCCUUUUUUCGGCAGCACCAAGACCAGGAGCACCACCCUGUACUGCCGGCUCCUUAUUCUACUCAGCGGAUGUGCCUGAAUGCAGACCUGCCCCAUCGGAGAUCUUCCUCUUCUUCACCAUCACCCUGCAGCAGUUCUGCCUCCUCCCUGUGGGGAGCCCGACCAAUAUACUCGUAGACCUCACCCCGCAGUGCACUGGCCUGGGCAAUGUCCCCCCAGCCUCCCAG